Molecule: ribosomal RNA, 426 nt
Filed under: uncultured bacterium
Lineage: Bacteria
Description: bacterial SSU rRNA
Rfam family: Bacterial small subunit ribosomal RNA
Source: RNAcentral
GUGAGGAAUUUUCCGCAAUGGGCGAAAGCCUGACGGAGCAAUGCCGCGUGAAGGAUGAAGGCCUAUGGGUUGUAAACUUCUUUUCUCAGAAAAGAAUUAUGACGGUAUCUGAGGAAUAAGCAUCGGCUAACUCUGUGCCAGCAGCCGCGGUAAGACAGAGGAUGCAAGCGUUAUCCGGAAUGAUUGGGCGUAAAGCGUCUGUAGGUUGUUUAAAAAGUAUUCUGUCAAAGAUUAGGGCUUAACCCUAGAUAGGCAGAAUAAACUUUUAAGCUAGAGUUUGGUAGAGGCAGAGGGAACUCCCGGUGGAGCGGUGAAAUGCGUGGAUAUCGGGAGGACAACCAAAGGCGAAGGCACUCUGCUGGGCCAAUACUAACACUGAGAGACGAAAGCGAGGGGAGCAAAUGGGAUUAGAUACCCCUGUAGUCC